This 88-nucleotide unclassified non-coding RNA is filed under the name Pseudomonas corrugata. Lineage: Bacteria; Pseudomonadati; Pseudomonadota; Gammaproteobacteria; Pseudomonadales; Pseudomonadaceae. The record is from RNAcentral.
UGUGGGAGCGAGCCUGCUCGCGAUGACGGCGGUACAUUCAGCAUAGCCGUCCAGACAGACCGCUAUCGCGAGCAGGCUCGCUCCCACG